UGAAAAUUUUAUUUCAACCUCCCCCAACCCACAUAGCUUAAAACCCACCCCGCCCACAUAGCCUAAAACCCUCCCCGCCCUCGCCCUCGCCCAUCCCGCUCUUCCCUGUUGACAUUCGUAGUUUUGAAGGGCAUUGGAGGUAAAAAAAAUAGAUCCAAAAUCACACCUUCCAUCGAACCCGCCCCUCGGAGGAAAACAAUAGAUCCAAAACAGCACCUUCUAUCGAACCCGACCCUUUCUUUCUUCAUCUCCGCCAUUAUGUUUCCCACGUGAAUCUCCAUCGAUAUCCAUCCCAACCAUAUCCCCUAUGUUUUCAACAUCCCUAAUCUCAAAACACCAACAAGAUCUCAUCCAUAGCCACCACUUUUCUAUCACUUAUUCGAUUCCGACGAAGUCAAGGGGUAUCAGUCGUGUUGCGUGUCUUGGUCCUGAUUGAUGUGAAACUUCAGUUUCUAGUUCGAAUUUUUUUUAGUUUGGUUUUAUCUCUACACUUUUGACCAACACUUCUGUAUAAAUUUGUUUUGGAGACUCUACAUUAAUUGGAACCUUCUAUUAAAGGUCAAUAAAAAUGCCUUAAGAUUUUGGGAUCUCCACGAGGUUGGUAGGAAAACAUUAGGAUGUGUUUAAUGUUACACGAACUUAGGUAGAACAAAAGGUUGGUUGGCUUCCUGGCGGAUUAGUGAACCCAGAUGUGAAAAUGAAAUUAUUUUAUAUCAAAGGAUGUGUCCCGAUAUCUUGCUGGCAACUUUUAGGCUGCAUUAGUACUUGAAAUCUUCCUAAAGGAAUUCAUUUAUUGUUAUAAGACAUACUUUUUUUACGAUCCAAUAAUACUUUAAGAGCUUCACCAAUCAAUGUAAAAGCAUCAGUUGAACUAGGGAACAUGUUCUUAUCAAGAUGUAGCAAGAGAGCAAACUUGCAGAACUGCUUCCUGAUAAGAGCAUCAUCUAUUGUUGUCUCAACUUUAAAAAAUACGCUACCAAUAUUUCUCAGUUCUAGAUGGUUUACUCUACAGAGAAAUGCACCUCACAAGCCAAGACCAUAUGUGUAUUGUUAUCCAUAUCAGGAAAGAGCUUCUAGGCAAACUUUUUCGCUCCAACAAAAUCUCCAUUUUCCAUCAUCUUUUCAGCAAACCUUAUAACCCUGAUGGCCUUUACUUUGUUGAAUUCCAUCAAAAGUAUAUAAUUUGAUAGUCCCACUCAUAUGUUUACCUUACACUUAAGAUGGCAGAUUCCAGUAGAAGCAAAGGAUAAAGAAACUAUAAUAUUCACAUUAGAUGUUCAAGUUCAUAUACUGUUCAGUUGAAUGUGAAGUUGAUGACUUGCUUGAGUAAAAAUAUGAGAAUGUAAAUGAAAAAGUGGUUGUACAUGAAAAAGGAAGUGUUAAUAUUCCCUCAGAUCUUGAGACUUCUACCAUGACUAAGUCAAAAAAAUUUGAAUGUACAUAUCAAGAUUUUAGUGAUUUUGACAAGGACAAGGAAGAAUUUUGCUUUAAAAGUUGAAUAAGUAUGGGUUAUUUAUGAUACUCUAGAAGUCAUGCCUACAUUUUAUGCAGUCAUCAGGAAGAUUUUGUACCUUGAGUUUAAGUUGCGCAUAACUUGGUUAGAGUUGAAUCCGCUGAAUGCACAUGAAACCGAAUGGCUAUCGGAGUGCUUUCCUAUGUCUUUUGGUAGUUUCAGACUAGAAAACUUAGAAUACAUUAGAUCAUCCUAUAAUCUCACAUUUGGAAUGUGUAAUAAAUGGAAAUAAGUAGAAUACGAUAAAUGUAUCUCCACGUGAAGAAGAGACUUGGUCCAUCUUUAAGGACUAGGAUAUGAAAUAUUGUUAUCAUCUUGAGAGUAAGAAAAAGUUCAAUUACGAGCUUGUAGAGGUCUUGUCAUGCUAUGAUAGUGAUAUUGGUGUUCAUGUUGCAUACUUGGAUAAAACAAAAGGCUUUACUUGUCUUUUUCAUCGAGCAGCAACAAAACUAGUGGAAUGACACCUCUUUCUAUUUUCUUCAAAGAAUAUGUUUAGAUUCUCUCAUAGAGUUCCUUCUUUUAAAGAUGACAGGCAUAUAGAGGAGUGAUGUUCCCGGAAGAUCAUUUGAACUAGACCUUUCUUUCUUACCUAUUGACCAAGUAGGCAUUUUUGCUUCUGCAUAUAUAGGUAAGGAAGACUCGGAUAAGCCGAAAUGCCAACUUGGUCAAUAGUUUAAAAAGCAAGAUCAAGUUCAAAGGAUCCUAUAUGAUCAUCAUUCCUCUCUAACCCUAUCAUUUUAAAAGAAGGAACUAAUAUAAGAGAAUCUAAACAUAUCCUUUGCGGAAAUUAGAAAUGGAUCUCUUUCCCCUAGUUUUCUUGUUUCUUGAUAAAAAAAGACAAGUAAAGCCUCUUGUUUUACCCAAUUAUGCAACAUGAACACACAUAUCAUUAUCAUAGUCUCACAAGAACUCAACAAGCGCGUUGUUGUGCUUUUUCGUGCUCUUGGGAUGAUAACACUAUUUCAUACCCUAGUCCUUAAAGAUGGACUGUCUCUCCUUCCCGUGGCAAUAUCUUUAUGAAAUUGUAGUUGUAUCCAUUCAUUACGCAAGCCAAAUGUGAGAACAUAGAUGAUCUUCAGAGUAUUCGGAGCUUCUAGUUUGAGCCUACUAGAAGAAGUAGGUAAGCCCUUUGAUAGUCAUUUAGUUUUCUAUAUUCAGUUGAUCUGGUUUUAACCAAGUUAUGCGCAGCAUAAACGCAAGAGAUAAUCUUCCUGAUGACUGCAUAGAAUCUAGGCAUGAAAUCCAGAGUACUAUAAACAACCCAUACUUGUCCAACCUUAAAGCAAGAUUCUUCUUUGUUCUUGUCAAAAUCACUAAAAUAUUGAUCUGCACAUUUAGGUGUUUCUAGUUUUGUCAUAGUAGAAGGCAUUAGAUCUAAGGGAAGAUCAACACUUCUUUUUCCAGGUACAAUCACUCAUUCAUUUGCAAUCUCAUCUUUUUUGUUAUAGAAGUCAUCAGUUUCACAUUCAAUCAAUUGUAUAUGAACUUGAACAACUGAUGUGAAUGUACUAGUUUCUUAAUCCUUUGCUUUUACUGGAAUCUGCCAUUUGGAGUGUAAGCUAAACAUAAGAGUGGGCUAUCAAAUUCUAGACUAGUGAUGUACAUCAACAAAGAAGAGGACAUCAGGGUCAGAGGGAUUGCAGAAAAGAUGAUGGAAAAUAGAGAUUUCAUUGGAGAUUAAAUGUUUGCAUUUAAAACGCAAGAGCUCUUUCCUAAUCUAGAGAACAUUACACAAAUGUUGAUGAUUCACUUAUCAGGAAGCAAUUCCGCAAGCUUGCUUUCUUGCUACAUCCUGAUAAGAACAAGUUCUCUGGUGCAGUUGAUGUUUGUACACUAACUACUUUUGGAAAUGUGUAUCCUAUAUUACUUUUAUGCAAGAAUAAAUUACAAGCCAGUUCUUGACAAUCUUAUUGUCUAUAAAUUGUAAAGGAUUGAAUAUUAUGUAGUUGGAAUCAAACACAAAUAACAUCUUAUUAUUAAACGAAUUAUAAAGGAGGUAAUAGUUAUCGCUGUGGGGUCCAACCCCCAUUUUUCAAAGUAAAAAAGUUGCUGCUCACACUUAUUUUCGUCAACAAAAUAACAAUUUGAUGCAAACUUGGUCAAAGAAAGUGCAUCAAUUGUUAAAAUGGUAAUAUUGAUCAGUGACAUAAGUAUGCUCUUUCUUUCUCUAUAAAUUGAGAGCUUGUGGCUCAUUUGAAGACACACCAAUUCACAGAGAAGAAAGAAAAAUAUUCAGAGAGUUGUAAAGUUUUCAUAGACUAUAUAUAAUAAAAUAGUCUGUGAAGAAAAAUAGAAUAUGAGCGAUAAUUUAGUAAGGUAGAAAUCAAAAGAGUGUUAUUCCUUUUGAAUGUGUUAUAGUUUCUUUGAAGUGUUGUACUUGUGACAACCUAGUGUAAAAUUCCUUACUAGAGUGAUAUCAGGUGCUCCUCUUGGCCCGUGAUUUUUCUCUUAUUUAAAAGGAUUUUCACGUAAAUUCUUAG
Solanum dulcamara is the source of this 3993-nucleotide long non-coding RNA. RefSeq lists it as uncharacterized. NCBI's taxonomy places the organism in Eukaryota, Viridiplantae, Streptophyta, Magnoliopsida, Solanales, Solanaceae. The transcript is spliced from 3 exons. The record is from RefSeq and is a predicted model, not a curated record.